UACCUGACACCACGGUGUUAGAAGUGUUUGCCUCCUGCUGUGUCAUCGUGAAAAUCCGCGCCGGAGCUGACGGACCUCCACCUCUGGGACCUGCAGAUGAAGAGGCUGACCCUCUCCCUCUGCCUCUGCCCUGCGUCAUCACUGAAACUGGUGGUUGUGGCAUGCUAGCUGGAGCUGUCUGCUGGGAUGGUGCCGUGAAAACUGCCUGAGGGCACUCACGAGCCAUGUGUCCCUCCUGGCCGCACCUGUAACAUCCUGUAAUCCCAAAGCGACAAACUCCUCUGUGCGCUUUACCGCACCUACUACACACUGGAACCUCUGAACCUGAACUCAUGCCACUGCCUAAUCCCAGACCUGCUUUAAUC
Molecule: long non-coding RNA, 365 nt
Filed under: Manihot esculenta (cassava)
Lineage: Eukaryota; Viridiplantae; Streptophyta; Magnoliopsida; Malpighiales; Euphorbiaceae
Description: long non-coding RNA (MESC_LNC001513)
Source: RNAcentral